UAUUAAUCUUUUUUUGAUAAAAAUAAUAUAAAAAAUUUUAAAAAAAAUUAAAAGUUUUAUGAUUCACGCAAAAUUUAACAUUAAAGAUAUUAAAAGAAAGUAAAAAAAAUUGUAAUUUUUAUUUUGGAAUUACAUCCUUUUUACGAAAAAAAAAUAGGUAUUUUUGCAAUGAUUUCUUUCUAGCCACCUCUUAUCACACCUUUAUUAAAAAUGAACGACUCAAUAAAGUCUCGCACUCUGUGGAUGGUCAAUCAAAGUAGAAUGGUCAACCAAAAUACCAAUUUCGAAGAGAAUUUAGGGAGUUUAAAUUCUACUAACUCAACAUUAGGUAAAGGCAACACGUUUUUUUUUAAAUAAAACUUUAGACUUACGCAGACUUUGUUCCAGCACAAGAUUCGGGACAAGAUUACAAGAUUAGUACAAGUUUGAUUGAAAGUAAUGAUUUUGACGUGAUUGAAAGUGAAGAACAACCUGGUUAUUUAGAACUAGAACGUGAGUGUUUGCUGGAGCACCUAGAGCAACAAGAAAAUGCUCAAAAUCUUAAUAGUUGUCCAGUCGAACAAUGCGAGAAACCAUCAUUAGGAGAACGCAGAGAUUUUCAAAUAGCUUCAACUCUUAAAGAACCUUUGGAUGCACAUGAGUCACAACUGAAUGAAUCUUUCUCAGAAAACGAUGACGAUUAGGUGAAAGAUCCUAAUUAUGACACAGAUUCAUCUACUUCUUCAUCGGACUCGAGUUCAUCAGAUUCAACUUCGAGUACGAGUAGUUCCUCAGCCUCCAGCUCGUGCCCUAAUGGGUCUCACCAUACUAGGAGGGCGUCAGUCGUUGACAGCCAGCCUGACCCAAGAUUUUAAUGCUCAAGAAGCUUCCAUUAUUGCUUCUGAUAAUGAUUCUACCCUAAAAAAAACUACCAAAGGAAAAAAAGAGUAUAAGAUGUAGAUAAUUGGAAAAGUAACGCGGCAAAGAAGCUAAGAAACUUAGGGUUAGCCUAUACCUCAAGAGCUAAGUCGGCAUCAAAAAAAUCGAAGCCCGCCAAAUAAAACCUCCUUGCGGGAUUAAAUGCCGAUUUAGAUGUUUCACAAAAAUUGACAAAACACAAAGAGCCACUAUUUUUAAAACAUACUGGGAUCUCGGAGAUAUAAAUAGACAAAGAGACUUUAUUAACAGGUGCCUAAAACCAAUCAAACCUACCUAUAGAUACAGCAAAACUAUAAAGCCUAGAAAAUAUAACAAUGCAUUUUACUUUUAUAUUAAUAGUGAUGAACCAAUUCGUGUGUGUAAAUAUUUUUUUAUGGCCACUUUAGAUAUUAACACCAGAAAUAUAAGGACAGUAAUUGAAAAACUAAAUAUGGGUUCUGUCAACCCAGAUUUAAGGGGUAAGCAUCUAAAGCACCGAAAAGUUGACGAAGCUUUUAAAAUCGGAGUUCGUGAGCAUAUUAAAGGCAUCCCUCGCAUCGAGAGUCACUAUCUGCGAAAGCAGACCACGAAAGAAUUUAUUGAUGAUGGGAAAACCCUUGCAGAUUUAUACAGAGACUAUAAAAAAAGCUGCCAAGAUAAAAAUCUUCCUUUUGCAAACUUAGUAAUGUAUUCAAAGAUUUUUCAAUACUGAGUUUAACAUAAGCUUCUUUAUACCAAAAAAAGAUCGCUGUGAGUUAUGUGAUAGUUACGAAAUAGCGACCGGUGAAGGUAAAAAAUCAUUUAGUAGAGUAAAUUUGGUAAGAAAAGUCGCUUAGUUCUCGAGAAAAAAAAACCGGCGUACAACCAAAGGAGACUUGGUGGAAUCCAUUAAUAAUGUAAUUGUGCGUAUGAAACCUUUUUUUACGACAUUUUUCGGUGGUCGAGAUGUUUUUUAUUUCGCAAAAACUAAAAAAAAACGUUUUUUAAGAAAA
Molecule: long non-coding RNA, 1889 nt
Filed under: Anthonomus grandis grandis
Lineage: Eukaryota; Metazoa; Arthropoda; Insecta; Coleoptera; Curculionidae
Description: uncharacterized LOC126733822
Source: RNAcentral